Molecule: non-coding RNA, 167 nt
Filed under: Skeletonema dohrnii
Lineage: Eukaryota; Bacillariophyta; Thalassiosirophyceae; Thalassiosirales; Thalassiosiraceae
Source: RNAcentral
CCUUCUGCCUUCUCCUCAUCAACCUCCUCAUCCUCGGGCAGACCAGUGUGCUCGGCGAGUUGUGCAACCUUGCUCUUCAAGAACUGCAUAUCUUCAGGGAGAGCGGCAAUAGCAGCAUUUCUGGUAGUACGCCUAUCCAAACAGGCGAUGAACUGCGCACGACCUUC